ACACGGCAUAUUGCCAAUCAAAAUUUUUCCAAAACUCGUCCUCUACAGGCUAAUUUUAUGAUUUUGAUUUUAUUAUUAUUAUUUUGGAUCCAACUACGUUGCACCGUGGGUUAGGUACCCUAGUUGUUUGUCUUUUAGCAAAUUUAGCGUUGGAUUGCAAAUAAAUGAAAUUAACGGUCGAGAUUAAACAUAACAAGAAAGGGGAGCAUCAUCUUUCUCCCCUCGUCUGAAGUGUACGAAGCAAUCAAUGUUCUGAAAUAGGGUUUUGACACCAAAAAACAAGGGAUUCACCUAUAGGCAACGUGCGAACAAAGACGAAUAGGGUUUUCCUCGGUAGAAUUAGGGCUGUAUUUGUUGGGUAAGCUUAGAUUAAUAGCUGUCGUCAGUUGCAGUCGUUUGUAGGGCAAUAUAACCAUUUGAGUGGUGGUGGAGUAAAGCGAGUAGAAGUAUCCUGGGGCAAAGUCUGUGGAGACUUGUGUUUAGAGCUCAUAUAUACUCGCAAUUUUGUAUCAAUCAGUGCUGAAGGAGUGCCCAACUAUCAGGUAAACCUAGGUGGUGAUGAUGAAUAUUCAUAUUUUGCUAUUAUUUUGUGUGUGUGUACAAAAUUAUUUGACUGUAGUUGUCUGGGUAGGCACGAACAAGGAGAAAUGGGCAUAGGAUGUUAGGUAUGGUUGUCAAAUAGAAAUUGGGAGGAAGAUAUAGAAAAUGGGAAUAUGUUAUGCUCUGAAUUUGUGAACUGAGGAUAAGAAACGUUAAUCGUGGAAAGAGAUUUUUGUUCGAAAGCACUCUACAACCACAGUUGCAUACACUGAUUUGUUGUUCUUUUAAAUGUGUUGGUUGUUAACAAACCUCCAUCAUAUUACAUGUGUUCUUUUAUCAAACACUUGUUUUCUUAUAGGUGACUGCCGCAUUACCUUUUCGUCAGCUUAUUGACAAUUGUCUCUUUAUUCAAUUUGCGGCCAUCAUAUCAAAUCGAUUGAUCGGUUUACUAAAAAAUCUUCAACAAAAUCACAACUCGUACAAUCUUGUUAAAAUACACCGAUAAUUCAGUUCCAACCUUCACUUGCAUGUGCUACGCGUUUAGUUGUUAAGAAAUUUUUUCCUGCUCCUUCUACUCUCUACCCUAUUACUGGUUUAUUAUUAGUUGACCGGCCCAUUACCGACUUGUCCAGUUACCUCCAGCACCUGUCGUGUGUCACCCCUGUCCGUUGGAUAAUAUCCAACGGCCAUAUAGCUAGACGACAACUAAGUGUGGUUUGUAACCACAGAUGCAACAUUGACGCGCCCUGUUAUUUUUUAGUGGUGUAACCAAAAGACUAAUUUGAAUUCGUGGUUUCAUACUAAAUUAACAAUAAGAGACGUUUUCUCAAAUUGUCAUUCAAAGUGACUCAUUUGAUCAUAAACUAACACUUGGGCACAAAGGUUUGUAAUAUUGCUCCAACAAUCGAAGAACAAUAAAGCAUCUGACAAAUUUUUUCACUUUAGUAAAAAUAAGAUCCAAUUUCCCAUUACAUAUUAUCUAAUCUACAUCUUCAUCUUCAUCGAACUCAGAAUCAUCAGUAGCCUUCUCACUCUCUGAGUCACUUAGCACAUACCUUGCCUGCCUACGAUUUGCUCUCUGUGGUCUAGCUUUAGGCGGCAGAACUUCAGCAACUUCUUCAGAGGUGGACGGAGAAGAGCCUGACGGUUCUUCAAUU
RNAcentral lists this long non-coding RNA (1697 nucleotides) under Citrus maxima (pomelo). RNAcentral describes it as "long non-coding RNA (CMAX_LNC003254)". Lineage: Eukaryota; Viridiplantae; Streptophyta; Magnoliopsida; Sapindales; Rutaceae. The record is from RNAcentral.